This is a long non-coding RNA of Apis mellifera (honey bee), 947 nucleotides long. RefSeq lists it as uncharacterized. The record is from RefSeq and is a predicted model, not a curated record. The transcript has 5 exons. NCBI's taxonomy places the organism in Eukaryota, Metazoa, Arthropoda, Insecta, Hymenoptera, Apidae.
GUAUUAAACAGAGAAUAUUUUUAAUCAAGAAAGGCAAGAGAUACAGAUUCAAGUUUCACCAUGUAUAGAUUGUUCGAGACUGAUGCGCAAUUUAAUAAAAUCUAGGAAUAGAAUAUCUGUAUCGCGAUACACGUUUCAGCAUGUGUAGAUCGCUUUAAACGAAGCUAGUUGCCAAGCGCAUCAUUUGACGUUGACCAGGAAGCGUGCAACAAGCGGAGCUUGGAUCUAACGUGUGGAAGCGGGGGAUCUUUCCCGCCAAGGUCAAACAUUUUGAUCGAUACAGGCGGGGAAAACGGUGAACGGCGAGGCACGACGCAAAAUGAGUACACAACGUGCACCCACUGCCAUUAAUUAGGAUCACGGAACCGAAUUCGAUUUGUGCUGGUGCUCCACAAUCAACGAAUCGACAUUGAGGUGCUUUACCAGACCAUUCUCCACCAAUGUCACAGGUUGAUGUCCACUCCAAAUACCACCAUCUCCGCAUCUACGUCUGACGUCACCUAGCAAUGUGUAAUUUUCUUUACACACGUAAUCAGCAAGGGCGCCAUGAGUUGUUCUGUUAUCAACCAACGUGAUUACACCGUUUUCCAAUUCAGGUAGAGGACCGCAAUCGACAACUACAAGCAUUUAAAAUAUGACAAACCUUGAAACCAUGGACAAGAUCACCGCCUCUUGCACGACAGUAAUUUCUGGCCUCUUGAAAAGAAUCACCCUUUUUGACAACGAAUUCAUAGCAGGUGGAAUUGAAAGCAGCCAAAUCUGCGUCAGCUGGCGUUCCGCUGUAAGCGCACCUGUCUGUUGAGAACUCUACGAGAAACCAACAAAUACUUCUACUUCACAUAGACUCAAACUUCCCUCCACACCGACUAGCUGCAGAAACACAUAUUGGCCAACAAGAGCUCUGGCACACAUGAACGUUUUCGUGAUUCCUUCCUCUGAAAGAUCAA